Molecule: ribosomal RNA, 490 nt
Filed under: uncultured bacterium
Lineage: Bacteria
Description: partial 16S ribosomal RNA
Rfam family: Bacterial small subunit ribosomal RNA
Source: RNAcentral
AUUGAACGCUGGUGGCAGGCUUAACACAUGCAGGUCGAACGGUAACAGGAAUUAGCUUGCUAAUUUGCUGACGAGUGGCGGACGGGUGAGUAAUGCUUGGGAAUCUGGCUUAUGGAGGGGGAUAACUACGGGAAACUGUAGCUAAUACCGCGUAAAAUCUUCGGAUUAAAGGGUGGGACUUUCGAGCCACCUGCCCUAAGAUGAGCCCAAGUGGGAUUAGGUAGUUGGUUAGGUAAAGGCUGACCAAGCCGACGAUCUCUAGCUGGUCUGAGAGGAUGACCAGCCACACUGGAACUGAGACACGGUCCAGACUCCUACGGGAGGCAGCAGUGGGGAAUAUUGCACAAUGGGGGGAACCCUGAUGCAGCCAUGCCGCGUGAAUGAAGAAGGCCUUCGGGUUGUAAAGUUCUUUCGGUGACGAGGAAGGUUGAUAGGUUAAUAGCCUAUCAAAUUGACGUUAAUCACAGAAGAAGCACCGGCUAACUCCGUG